Drosophila ananassae is the source of this 62-nucleotide non-coding RNA. The record is from Rfam. Lineage: Eukaryota; Metazoa; Arthropoda; Insecta; Diptera; Drosophilidae.
GAACUAGAAGCUCUGGAAGCUUCUUAAGCGUUUUAUAUAAUCAGAAAUAUAUAUGCGCGUUC